This 253-nucleotide ribosomal RNA is filed under the name uncultured bacterium. Its description in RNAcentral is "partial 16S ribosomal RNA". It matches the Rfam family "Bacterial small subunit ribosomal RNA", at positions 524 to 776 of the family's 1533-position model. The record is from RNAcentral.
UACGAAGGGGGCUAGCGUUGCUCGGAAUCACUGGGCGUAAAGCGCACGUAGGCGGAUUGUUAAGUCCCGUGUGAAAGCCCCCGGCUCAACCGGGGAACGGCGCGGGAAACUAGCAGGCUUGAGUUCGGGAGAGGGAAGCGGAAUUCCGGGUGUAGCGGUGAAAUGCGCAGAUAUCCGGAGGAACACCGGUGGCGAAGGCGGCUUCCUGGACCGACACUGACGCUGAGGCGCGAAAGCGUGGGGAGCGAACAGG